RNAcentral lists this long non-coding RNA (274 nucleotides) under Manihot esculenta (cassava). RNAcentral describes it as "long non-coding RNA (MESC_LNC002995)". The record is from RNAcentral. Lineage: Eukaryota; Viridiplantae; Streptophyta; Magnoliopsida; Malpighiales; Euphorbiaceae.
UGGAAGCCGUCUUAUCGUAAGGCGGAUAAUAGGAUUGCUGAGUGGUUGUUGGCUGGUAGGGCCCAUUGGAAUCAUAGGGAGGGAAAGAAGGUUGAGGAGGUUGCGGUGGCGAGUUAAAGGAAGAUUGCAAACUAUUAGGGUUCGGAGCUGCUGUCGUAGCCGGAGGAGGAGGAGGGGGAGGAGACGGCGGCAGUGGAUUGUAUGAGGGAGCUGUGGGAGGAGGGACGGAAUAGGGAUUUUGAGUAUAGGGAGGGUAAUUGGGGGGAUAACCGGG